CAGAUUGAACGCUGGCGGCAGGCCUAACACAUGCAAGUCGAGCGGCAGCGGGUCUACUUCGGGAGUGCCGGCGAGCGGCGGACGGGUGAGUAAUGCCUAGCGAAUCUGCCUGGUAGUGGGGGAUAACUCGGGGAAACUCGAGCUAAUACCGCAUACGUCCUACGGGAGAAAGCGGGGGAUCUUCGGACCUCGCGCUACCAGAUGAGCCUAGGUCGGAAGAGCUAGUUGGUGAGGUAAAGGCUCACCAAGGCGACGAUCCGAGCUGGUCUGAGAGGAUGAUCAGCCACACUGGAACUGAGACACGGUCCAGACUCCUACGGGAGGCAGCAGUGGGGAAAUAUUGGACAAUGGGCGAAAGCCUGAUCCAGCCAUGCCGCGUGUGUGAAGAAGGUCUUCGGAUUGUAAAGCACUUUAAGUUGGGAGGAAGGGCAGUAAGUUAAUACCUUGCUGUUUUGACGUUACCGACAGAAUAAGCACCGGCUAACUUCGUGCCAGCAGCCGCGGUAAUACGAAGGGUGCAAGCGUUAAUCGGAAUUACUGGGCGUAAAGCGCGCGUAGGUGGUUUGAUAAGUUGGAUGUGAAAGCCCCGGGCUCAACCUGGGAAUUUAUACCAAAACUGUCUGACUAGAUGUAUGGCAGAGGGUGGUGGAAUUUCCUUGUGUAGCGGUGAAAUGCGUAGAUAUAGGAAGGAACACCAGUGGCGAAGGCGACCGCCUGGGCUAAUACUGACACUGAGGUGCGAAAGCGUGGGGAGCAAACAGGAAGAGAUACCCUGGUAGUCCACGCCGUAUUUUAUUCGACUAGCCGUUGGG
RNAcentral lists this ribosomal RNA (812 nucleotides) under Pseudomonas sp. BJMCP1. Its description in RNAcentral is "bacterial SSU rRNA". It matches the Rfam family "Bacterial small subunit ribosomal RNA", at positions 25 to 827 of the family's 1533-position model. Lineage: Bacteria; Pseudomonadati; Pseudomonadota; Gammaproteobacteria; Pseudomonadales; Pseudomonadaceae. The record is from RNAcentral.